Molecule: long non-coding RNA, 569 nt
Filed under: Pan troglodytes (chimpanzee)
Lineage: Eukaryota; Metazoa; Chordata; Mammalia; Primates; Hominidae
Description: lincRNA
Source: RNAcentral
AUUAAAAGCAAGUCCCAGCCAGGUGUGGUGGCUCAUGCCUGUAAUCCCAGCACUUUGGGAGGCCGAGGCAGGCGGAUCACUUGAGACUUUGUGCUCCAUCAGUUGAAGAGUAGGAUGAAGAAAAAAAAAAAGGUUACAUGAAGAUGAUGGAAUUAUAAUCAGGCCUUGAAGAACGGAGACAAUUCCAGCCAUUGUUGUAGAUGUGGAGGCUGAAGGACAUUCCAAUUUGAAGGAACAGAAGAUGGGAUCUCACUCUGCUGCCCAGGCUGGUCUCCUCCUGCCUUGGCCUCCCAAAGUGUUGGAAUUACAAGUGUGAGCCACUGUGCCUGGCCCUGAAUAAGUUUCUUGACCCAGAGUUCCUGAAGAGGAGGACGGGAACCUUGGAGGCUGUUUCUCCAGGCUGAUGGAGUUUCGCUCUUGUUGCCCAGGCUAGAAUGCAAUGGCGCGAUCUCAGCUCACUGCAACCUCUGCCUCCUGGGUUCAAGCAAUUCUCCUGCCUCAUCCUCCUGAGUAGCUGAGAUUACAGUGAUGGAGUCUUGUUGUGUUGCCCAGCCUGGCGUCUAACCCCU